GGUAGGACCUCCGGACCUGGUGGCCGGCCCGGUCUUCAAAACCGGUGGGGGGCAUGGAGACAUGUCCCUGGGAGGUUCGAUUCCUCUGUCCUACCG
Molecule: transfer RNA, 96 nt
Filed under: Archangium gephyra
Lineage: Bacteria; Pseudomonadati; Myxococcota; Myxococcia; Myxococcales; Archangiaceae
Also listed under: 11 other names
Description: tRNA-Sec
Rfam family: Selenocysteine transfer RNA
Source: RNAcentral